This 509-nucleotide ribosomal RNA is filed under the name uncultured bacterium. RNAcentral's name for it is "partial 16S ribosomal RNA". It matches the Rfam family "Bacterial small subunit ribosomal RNA", at positions 28 to 523 of the family's 1533-position model. The record is from RNAcentral.
GACGAACGCUGGCGGCGCGCUUAACACAUGCAAGUCGAGCGAGAACCUGGGCUUCGGCCCUGGGGACAGCGGCGAACGGGUGAGUAACACAUGGGUAAUCUGCCCUUGACAUCGGGAUAGCCCGGGGAAACCCGGAUUAAUACCGAAUAGCCUCCGGAGCCUUCGGGCGCCGGAGAAAAGGUAGCUUCGGCCUCUGGUCGAGGAUGAGCCCGCGGCGGAUUAGCUUGUUGGCGGGGUAACGGCCCACCAAGGCGACGAUCCGUAGCUGGUCUGAGAGGCAGAUCAGCCAAACUGGGAGUGAGACACGGCCCAGACUCCUACGGGAGGCAGCAGUGGGGAAUCUUGCGCCAAUGCGGGAAACCGUGACGCAGCGACGCCGCGUGGGGGAAGAAGGCCUUCGGGUUGUAAACCUCUUUCAGGAGGGACGAAGCCACUCGGGUGAAUAGCCCAGAGGGUGACGGUACCUCCAGAAGAAGCCCCGGCUAACUACGUGCCAGCCGCCGCCGUAA